GAGAGGCCAACAGACGAGCUGCUGGUGGUUCUGAUGGACAGGUGUCAGAACAAAGUUGUCGUUCUCUGAUGGUUCUUAAUUCCCAAAUCUUAACCAUCAUCAUGGUCAAAACCAGGUUGUGUGAGUCUAGAUAUACAGAUAUAGAAGAGCACUACAGGUUGGUCGUUGUGUAUUUCUACCAUAGUGCUGCUGGCGCACAAACAGCGUUUCCCGCGGAGUCCUUUUGGCCCGACACAUUCGUUCCUGCCUCCCCGGUCGUGGCGCGGCUAAUUUAUGCCCGCGUUGCGCCUCAAUCUUGCCGCUCUGAGUCGCGGACGCCGCAGCGCUUGACGUGUGGUACAGGGGAUCGUAAAAGUGUCAGCGCUGUGACAACACCAUUAGCGCAGCGCGGCGUGGAAAGUGUCGUGGGGCACUCGGAACCACAACACAACAUUGAGGCCUUCGGACAAAGAUCCUCCCAGGAACAGAAUAUAAAGUCUCCUGAACCUGAACCAGGGGACUUGGCUGCAGCAAGGACACACAGCCCUGCACUGCCUCCACAUGAAACCUGGAUUGAGCAUGAAGUCAGAAUCAACUGUCACUGCAACGUCCUGUUUUUGGUCUAAUGCAGCUUUUUAAUCUGCAGACGACCCAAUGGAUUACUUAAAAAGUCGCUCUGAGCAUUGUGUGCUGAAAUCGAUGUCCAACUCUUGGUGGUGGGAACUCAAAACAUGGACCUGCAGCGCCUUUACCACCAGGAUGUGCUCAAAUCAGAAAAAAAAACAGGCUUGACAGUGCGCCGAGCGCGAGGGGACGCGGGGUGUAAUUAGAACGGAGAGGCCGCCGCUGCGUGACGCACAGAGCGGCGCGGGGAUGUGUCAGAGAGCCGUAAUCGGCGCGUUGCUGCGAGGAGCACGUUCCCGCACGGCCGCGGCCGCGGACGGCGCGGAUUAGAGGCCGAGGAGCGCGACGCGGCGCCCCGACGGGAGAGCGGCGCGUGCGUCCGCACACCGAGCAGCUGGUCCCGGAGCACCGGCUCCGAGGAUGCUCUUCAAUCACAGCUCGACCCGUGGCCGCUGCCGCCGCCGCUAAUGUCGCAGUGUGGCUGUUAACAGGGAGCGAUGGCGCCUCGCAGAGACACACGUGGACGUUGAGACGCAGUGUUAUUAUGUGCUGGUUCCGAUCAGAUGACUUCAUUGCUGGAUUGAUUUUCUUCUUGAUGCUGCGUUUCACGAAGCCGUGGAGUUUUCACUGAGUUGACUGCCGCCGAUGAUGCUGCUUAGCGCUGAUGAUGUGAUAAGGGAAAACUGUAACAAAGAGGAUUAUGAAGACUGGCCUCUGAGAGUUGAAGGAUUCAAUUUAUCACAUGGAGACGUCCUGAUAGCUAGCAGUGAUUAAUCAGAUUAUUAUUAAAGCUCCCUGUAAAUUUCUGUUGCUAAAAGCAAAGAAAAAUCCAUGUUUCAUGCAUCGCACACAGAUUACAUUCCAAAUUUUACAUUUUUUCCAUUAACUUAAUGCUCUUAAAAUAUUCACUCAGUCUUGAACUAUUCAAUCUGACACCAUGUAGAAGCCAGGCCUAUUUGCAUGCAAGUGCAAGUCCGCAGCAUGAGUUAGCCAGUGUACACCCAGCUGUGCUGGGAAAUCUCUAACGCAGUCAGCAAUCCAUCAGCAGACCUCUGAUCUGCUCAUUUCAGAUAAAAGGAGUCAGAGCGGCUCUCCAGGGCUUUAGGGAGCGCUCACACUUCCCACCUCGCAGCUCUCCAACGUGCAACUUGUGCAUUUCUGAGUAGAAAAAAACUGCAGGGAAAGGAACAAAUGUUAUUAGAGUAAAAGUUAAUGAGCACAACUUUGAGCUUUGUGAAUGACGCACACCUUGAAUGUGAAAACAGCUGAUUGCUAAAAAACAGUGCUUCAGCAUUUUUUAAUGAAAUCACACUCAAAUGGAACACACAUCUCAAAAAGGAAAGCAGUUUAUAGAAACUGAAUCCAACCAAAGGAUUUUCAAUUAAUAAAUUCUGUAUGAUUAUUAUGGGAUUAAACA
Molecule: long non-coding RNA, 2020 nt
Filed under: Betta splendens (Siamese fighting fish)
Lineage: Eukaryota; Metazoa; Chordata; Actinopteri; Anabantiformes; Osphronemidae
Description: lncRNA (ENSBSLG00000001377.1)
Source: RNAcentral